This 62-nucleotide transfer RNA is filed under the name Causus defilippii (snouted night adder). RNAcentral's name for it is "tRNA-Glu". Lineage: Eukaryota; Metazoa; Chordata; Lepidosauria; Squamata; Viperidae. The record is from RNAcentral.
AUUUUUGUAGUUGAUGAACAACGGUGGUUUUUCAGACCUCAGGACUCUUAAGAGCAAGAAUA